RNAcentral lists this ribosomal RNA (1932 nucleotides) under Chitinilyticum aquatile DSM 21506. RNAcentral describes it as "bacterial LSU rRNA". It matches the Rfam family "Bacterial large subunit ribosomal RNA", at positions 936 to 2856 of the family's 2925-position model. Lineage: Bacteria; Pseudomonadati; Pseudomonadota; Betaproteobacteria; Neisseriales; Chitinibacteraceae. The record is from RNAcentral.
UUACCAAACCAUGGCAAACUCCGAAUACCGAAGAGUGCGAGCGUGGGAGACAGACAUGGGGUGCUAACGUCCUGUGUCAAGAGGGAAACAACCCAGACCGCCGUCUAAGGUCCCAAAUGCAUAGUUAAGUGGAAAACGAGGUGGGAAGGCACAGACAGCCAGGAUGUUGGCUUAGAAGCAGCCAUCAUUUAAAGAAAGCGUAAUAGCUCACUGGUCGAGUCGUCCUGCGCGGAAGAUGUAACGGGGCUCAAACUAUGAACCGAAGACGCGGAUAUGUGUUUACACAUAUGGUAGGAGAGCGUUCUGUAGGCCUGUGAAGGUGUGUUGUAAAGCAUGCUGGAGGUAUCAGAAGUGCGAAUGCUGACAUGAGUAGCGAUAAAGGGAGUGAAAAGCUCCCUCGCCGAAAGCCCAAGGUUUCCUGCGCAACGUUCAUCGGCGCAGGGUGAGUCGGCCCCUAAGGCGAGGCAGAAAUGCGUAGUCGAUGGGAAACGGGUUAAUAUUCCCGUACUUGAUAUCAGUGCGAUGUGGGGACGGAGAAGGGUAGGUCAGCCACCUGUUGGAAUAGGUGGUUUAAGCGUGUAGGCGUGGGGAUUAGGCAAAUCCGGUCCCCUUUAACGCUGAGGCGUGAUGACGAGGAAUCUUUGAUUCUGAAGUGAUUGAUCCCAUGCUUCCAGGAAAAGCCACUAAGCUUCAGCUGAUAUUGAACCGUACCGCAAACCGACACAGGUGGGCAGGUAGAGAAUACUAAGGCGCUUGAGAGAACUCGGGAGAAGGAACUCGGCAAAUUGACACCGUAACUUCGGGAGAAGGUGUGCCCCGGUAGCGUGAAGGACCUUGCGUCUGGAGCGUGAUGGGGUUGCAGUGAACUGGUGGCUGCGACUGUUUAUCAAAAACACAGCUCUGUGCCAACACGAAAGUGGACGUAUACGGAGUGACGCCUGCCCGGUGCUGGAAGAUUAAAUGAUGGGGUGCAAGCUCUUGAUUGAAGUCCCAGUAAACGGCGGCCGUAACUAUAACGGUCCUAAGGUAGCGAAAUUCCUUGUCGGGUAAGUUCCGACCCGCACGAAUGGCGUAACGAUGGCCACACUGUCUCCUCCCGAGACUCAGCGAAGUUGAAGUGUUUGUGAAGAUGCAAUCUCCCCGCUGCUAGACGGAAAGACCCCGUGAACCUUUACUGUAGCUUUGCAUUGGACUUUGAAGUGGUUUGUGUAGGAUAGGUGGGAGGCUUUGAAGUGCGGACGCUAGUUCGCAUGGAGCCGACGUUGAAAUACCACCCUGACCCCUUUGAGGUUCUAACCUUGGUCCGUUAUCCGGAUCGGGGACCGUGCAUGGUAGGCAGUUUGACUGGGGCGGUCUCCUCCCAAAGUGUAACGGAGGAGCUCGAAGGUUACCUAGGUACGGUCGGACAUCGUACUGAUAGUGUAAUGGCAAAAGGUAGCUUAACUGCGAGACCGACAAGUCGAGCAGGUGCGAAAGCAGGACAUAGUGAUCCGGUGGUUCUGAAUGGAAGGGCCAUCGCUCAACGGAUAAAAGGUACUCCGGGGAUAACAGGCUGAUUCCGCCCAAGAGUUCACAUCGACGGCGGAGUUUGGCACCUCGAUGUCGGCUCAUCACAUCCUGGGGCUGUAGCCGGUCCCAAGGGUAUGGCUGUUCGCCAUUUAAAGUGGUACGUGAGCUGGGUUCAAAACGUCGUGAGACAGUUUGGUCCCUAUCUGCAGUGGGCGUUGGAAGUUUGAGGGGGGCUGCUCCUAGUACGAGAGGACCGGAGUGGACUGACCUCUGGUGUACCGGUUGUCACGCCAGUGGCAUUGCCGGGUAGCUAAGUCGGGAAUAGAUAAGCGCUGAAAGCAUCUAAGUGCGAAACUAGCCUCAAGAUGAGACUUCCCUAGGUCUUUAAGACCUCUAAAGGAUCGUUCGAGACCAGGACGUUGA